UAACGAGGGCUAAGCUGUCUCCUUUUUCCAGUCAAUGAAAUUGAUCUUCCCGUGCAGAAGCGGGAAUCCCAACAUAAGACGAGAAGACCCUAUGGAGCUUCAAACACAAGGCAGCCCAUGUAAAACACCUGGAUUAACAGAACUAACCAAGUGGCCCCUGCCCUUCUGUUUUUGGUUGGGGCGACCAUGGGGAAACAAACAUCCCCCAUGUGGAAUGGGGCCCUCCCCCCUAAAGCUAGAGCCACAGCUCUAGCCAGCAGAACAUCUGACCUUCAAGAUCCGGCAAAGCCGAUCAACGGACCGAGUUACCCUAGGGAUAACAGCGCAAUCCCCUUUUAGAGCCCAUAUCGACAAGGGGGUUUACGACCUCGAUGUUGGAUCAGGACAUCCUAAUGGUGCAGCCGCUAUUAAGGGUUCGUUUGUUCAACGAUUAAAGUCCUACGU
RNAcentral lists this ribosomal RNA (444 nucleotides) under Lepidogobius lepidus (bay goby). Its description in RNAcentral is "partial 16S ribosomal RNA". It matches the Rfam family "Bacterial large subunit ribosomal RNA", at positions 2002 to 2601 of the family's 2925-position model. Lineage: Eukaryota; Metazoa; Chordata; Actinopteri; Gobiiformes; Gobiidae. The record is from RNAcentral.